CAAAAUAUCUGACUGAAAUGGUCACGUGACUCGCUCAACUCCCAUUUUCGAGUUUGGGACCCGCGUGGGAGAACCCGGUUUCGCGCAAACCCGUCGACUCCACCCACAGGAAGAGAAGAGAGAAGGAGGUCGGAAAGUCUGUCUCCACGCAUCGGGGUGUGCCUCGCUCCUUCUUUUCCACACGUUCGUGAUCGUCGUCCCUCCCUCCCGACUGGGGGUGUCGGCCGAGACGCGCAAAGCCAACGCCGUCGGUCCCGGGUCAGCGUGGAGACUGCACAGAGAGCCCCUGAGCAAAGGACGAUUCGAAAAUCAAUUUGAUGAGGAGCAAAUCCUCGAUAUUCCCUUGGAAACGCACCAUUUCUUCACCUUGUUCGGUUCUUCUGGCUGUUUUUACACAUUGUCGCGGGGAGGAACAAGAAUCCGGAAUUUGUGCAGACAGGCCGAGCGAGGCCAAGGAAAGCAAAGAUGAAGGAAAUGACGACGUUUUGCAUUGAAUCCAAACGAAAAGCAGCUAAAGAGGGCAGGGAAAAACAAGGGAUAGCAGUUCAAGACAAGAUCCUAAACUAUGGACUCUAUACACAAAAA
This is a long non-coding RNA of Nymphaea colorata (pocket water lily), 585 nucleotides long. RefSeq lists it as uncharacterized. The record is from RefSeq and is a predicted model, not a curated record. NCBI's taxonomy places the organism in Eukaryota, Viridiplantae, Streptophyta, Magnoliopsida, Nymphaeales, Nymphaeaceae. The transcript has 2 exons.